CCUACGGGAGGCAGCAGUGAGGAAUAUUGGUCAAUGGGCGAGAGCCUGAACCAGCCAAGUCGCGUGCGGGAUGACGGCCCUAUGGGUUGUAAACCUCUUUUGUCAGGGGACAAAAUCCGCCACGGGUGGGCUUUUGUAGGUACCUGAUGAAAAAGCACCGGCUAAUUCCUGCCCAGCAGCCGCGGUAAUACGGAGGGUCCGGGCGUUAUCCGGAUUUAUUGGUUUUAAAGGGUGCGCAGGGGGCGUGUUAAGCUGGCGGUAAAAUGCCGGGGCCCAACCCCGGGCCUGCGUUUGGAACGGGGUGGCUCGAGUUCGAGAGAGGCAGGCGGAAUUCGUGGUGUAGCGGUGAAAUGCAUAGAUAUCACGAAGAACCCCGAUUGCGAAGGCAGCAUACGGGAGCGCCACUGACGCUGAGGCCCGAAAGCGUGGGUAUCGAACAGGAUUAGAUACCCUAGUAGUC
Molecule: ribosomal RNA, 460 nt
Filed under: uncultured bacterium
Lineage: Bacteria
Description: partial 16S ribosomal RNA
Rfam family: Bacterial small subunit ribosomal RNA
Source: RNAcentral